GACCGCGACCCCAGGUCAGGCGGGACUA
Molecule: ribosomal RNA, 28 nt
Filed under: Veronica lanuginosa
Lineage: Eukaryota; Viridiplantae; Streptophyta; Magnoliopsida; Lamiales; Plantaginaceae
Description: partial 26S ribosomal RNA
Source: RNAcentral